This 65-nucleotide transfer RNA is filed under the name Dipodomys ordii (Ord's kangaroo rat). It matches the Rfam family "tRNA". From Rfam's summary of the family: Transfer RNA (tRNA) molecules are approximately 80 nucleotides in length. Their secondary structure includes four short double-helical elements and three loops (D, anti-codon, and T loops). Further hydrogen bonds mediate the characteristic L-shaped molecular structure. tRNAs have two regions of fundamental functional importance: the anti-codon, which is responsible for specific mRNA codon recognition, and the 3' end, to which the tRNAs corresponding amino acid is attached (by aminoacyl-tRNA synthetases). tRNAs cope with the degeneracy of the genetic code in two manners: having more than one tRNA (with a specific anti-codon) for a particular amino acid; and 'wobble' base-pairing, i.e. permitting non-standard base-pairing at the 3rd anti-codon position. The record is from Rfam by way of RNAcentral. Lineage: Eukaryota; Metazoa; Chordata; Mammalia; Rodentia; Heteromyidae.
GGUGGCUCAGUGGCAGAGCACUUGCCUUGCAUGCAUGAGGCCCUGGGUUCGAUUCCUCAGUACCA